Long non-coding RNA from Dreissena polymorpha, 2412 nucleotides. RefSeq lists it as uncharacterized. The record is from RefSeq and is a predicted model, not a curated record. The transcript has 2 exons. NCBI's taxonomy places the organism in Eukaryota, Metazoa, Mollusca, Bivalvia, Myida, Dreissenidae.
AAGAACUUGAACGUUCAACUUCUUCUUACGUGUUUUUUUUUAUAUUUUAGUACAUGUAUUACUAUUAGUAUAAAAUGUAAUAUUUAGUAUAAUUGAUAGAUAUAUUUAACUUUCGAUUUUUUUUAAUUAUUUUCGGAAAAUGUUAAUAAAUAGAACAUUAGUGCUUCAAGCUUUAAAUAAUAUUCUGUUUUAUACUCCACAGUCAUAUUGAGGUAGUGGUAUAGUUUAGACAAGUGUAGAUUCGGAACAAGGUCGUACACGAAGUAAUUUUGCUCCAUGGCUGACGUAAAGGACGAGAUAACAACUCUGAAGUGUGGUCCAUGCUUGUUCGAUGGCGACUCAGUGGAGCCAACGCAUUUCUGUGUUGACUGUCUGGAAUAGUUGUGUACUGGAUGUGCACGCGAACAUCAAACUCACAAGUCAUCACGUGAACAUACAGUACUCGAAGACAGUGAAUUUUCGCCAGAUGAUUAAUUAACCGACAAAACUAGAAGAUCUGAUGAAAAUGUUGCAUCAAUUCAAUGUUGUGCUAAUAUGCAAAGAUGAACAAGCAUCCGAGAUGAGCAGUGAUGAGGCAUCUCUCUAUGAGGACGCAAUAGAAUUUCAAGAGUCAAAAACACGAGAUGUAGCGACACAAUAUAAGGAAAUUGUGGCUGAAUGUGGAAAGGCUCCCAAACGACGUUUGAGAUGCUUGAAUGUUAUGCAUGAUAACAUUAGGCUAUUAAAGUUUGAAUAUCAUAAGAAAAAAGAAACAAAGCGUUCUGUUGUAGCAAUAGACAUAUUAUCUAACGGUAGAAUACUUUGGUUGCAUCAUGAAAAAAUGUUGGCAUUGCAUUCAUCGAAACUGCAAUUAUCAUCAACAUUCCAACGUAAACGAAAUGCUAAAGACAUGUGUGCUGUACAGAAAACAAGUAAAGGUGACUUUACAGUAGCUGUUUGUUUUGAACGGUCAAGUAAAACUUUAAUCCUUGAAUAUCACGAUGAGUUUCAAGAAAAGACUUGUAUUAAUUGCAGCCCAAAUGUUAUCAGUAUAUAAAUGCAUAAUCAUUUGGUAACGCUUGUAGAACGGAAGAGUUCAACAUCAUCCUAUGAAAUUCGGCUGCUCGAUAUACCGACUGGUCACGUGUGUUACACCUUUGACGAGUUUAUAAAAGCAACAUCCGAACACGCCAGCAUUUUCGAAUGUAUUACCAUUUUAAACCUUACAGAAUACGUGCGUGCCAAAAGACUAAUCAUGUUGUUUUACUUGAUGCAAAUGCAGUUUACCGUUUCAGCAUCGGAGACGGUCAAUGUGAAAAUGAUACAUUGUAUGCAGGCGGUCCAUGUGUGUGGAAUCAUCGUUAAGUAUGGAAAACCCCGCCGGACCUCCACAAUGCAACGGAUGUUAAAUUCGAUUCUCAUGGAAAUGUGUAUGUCCAGGCGAAUAAUUGUAUGUAUCAGUUAUAUCUUUCAAAUGGCAGCUUCAUUGCCCGAAUACUUAUGGCACAGCUUGACAAUGUUUCCGCACUGGCCAUAGACGAGUCAUGUAAUCGUAUAGUAGUGGGAUAUAAAUAUUCUGAUCGUGCUCAUGUUUACAAAUAUAGCUUUCUCAGCGAUCGAUAAGGAUUUCACAAAUAUUAGCUCUUGUCUUUGAACAUUUAACAAAUUAAGAUUGUUUCUCCGCGCUUGUGUUGCUUAUUUUCAAAGUAGAAUGCUUGAAAGGACGAUACAUGACUGAAACAAAAAAACAGUGUGAAACAUUACAGGUUCUUGUUCAUUUAAGUUUGAAAUAGCUAUUGUAUUCCAAGAAAUGGGUACGUUUAUUAUAAAAUUUAACAUUACAUCGGACUGAACGGCGGUAUUGUAUUGUAAUAUGUAGUGUAAAAUUUAAUAUUCAACUACAUAAUUAAUAUACAAUUAAUUUAUUUUCCGUUUGAAAGAUGCACACAAAAAUAAUCAAACAUGUGAGCAUGUAGAUUUUGUAUGAACAUAUAGUUGUAUUAUAUGCUAGAGGAACGUAUGUUGAUUUUAUGCUUGCCAUUACGUAUUAGAAUUCAACGGAUGAUAAAUGUUCACGUACACUUACGAUAUUAUGUAUUCAUACUCAUGAACGACUGGCAAGGUAACCAAAUCAUAUGAAUAAAGAAUGUUUGUAGAAUAAAAUAAUAUAUAUGACUUUUCGUUCGCUAAAGUCAUCUGACCUUUGUAGGUGGUACGAAAUGAAAGGUUUAACAUAAUCUUCAUUAUUCUGUUUUAAGUAUAUAACGUUUCAUCAGAAUAUCAGGGUUACUUUAAAGGUUAUCAAAUUAUUAAGUUUUGCGUUCGGAUGACCCGAGGGAUAACGUACGGACUUAACGAUGCAGGCAAAAUAUAUUUUAUGAAUAAAUAUUGUACAUCAUUAUAUAAAUAAAAAAUAAAUAUAUAUAAAUAAUA